AUGUCGACGGCGUCGGCGCGCGCGGAGGAGGGGCCGACGGCGCAGAGGAAGUCCUCCCCGCCGGCCAGCGCGGAGAAGGGGUGCGUGGAGGGGUACGUCUCCUGGCGCUGGUGGUCGCCGCCGGCCGCCGUGCAGUUGAGGUCAAGCAGCGCCGGCGACGCCGCGGACGGCAGCAGCCCGCACACUAUGGUCGUCUCCUCGGCCUUGGCCAUGGCGAACGUGGAGAGCGUGGACGCCGCGCCCGGCCGCAGCAGCAGCAGCAGCAGCGGCACCACGAGCAAGGCGAGGAAGAGCCGAGGCGGCCGCAUCGCGCGCGUGCGGGGGAGGAGCGGUGGAGCGGAGUAG
This 345-nucleotide ribosomal RNA is filed under the name Triticum aestivum (bread wheat). RNAcentral describes it as "partial small subunit ribosomal RNA". Lineage: Eukaryota; Viridiplantae; Streptophyta; Magnoliopsida; Poales; Poaceae. The record is from RNAcentral.